Molecule: RNA transcript, 1255 nt
Organism: Dunckerocampus dactyliophorus (ringed pipefish)
Lineage: Eukaryota; Metazoa; Chordata; Actinopteri; Syngnathiformes; Syngnathidae
Gene: laptm4a
Gene name: lysosomal protein transmembrane 4 alpha
Exons: 9
Source: RefSeq, a predicted model, not a curated record
UACUUACUUUCAUUUCCGGGUUUUUUGUUUUUAUUGAGACGUAAGAGCAGAGCGUCAGGAAGGUGUUUCUGGCUCUGUCUGUUGAUUCUACACAAUUUCUCCUUUGCCUUCUCAUUACUCUUGUGGUGGGCAUGCAGCAUUUUAAACUAGGCCAAGACAAACUGUACAGCACCAGAUGCUGUGGAUGUUGCCACGUCCGGACGGGAACUAUCAUCCUUGGAACAUGGUACAUGGUUAUCAACCUGCUUAUGGGAAUCCUUCUAACAGUGGCGGCGACCCAUCCAGAAAGCGUUCCCUCCGUCAACUUGCAGUAUGCAGUUAUUGACCAUUACUUAACAUCUGAUCGGAUGUCAGAUGCAGCUGCGACACAGACGACACGCUGGGAAAAGUGUCCCAAAGGGAACGCCGGUGCCGGAUUGGCCAUUUCUCUGCUUAUGGUGACUGUCAGCGCUAUGUUGCUGUAUGGAGCCAUUGCUCAUCGCAGUGGGAUGCUCAUCCCGUUCUUUUGCUACCAGAUGUUUGACUUUGCUCUCAGCUGCCUGGUGGCCUGCAGCUCCCUCACCUACCUACCCAGGAUACAGGAGUACCUGGACCAGCUGCCGGAUUUCCCCUACAAGGAUAACCUGUUGUCUCUGGACCCCAGGUUCCUGUUCUUCUUUGUACUGGUCCUCUUUACCUUCCUCAUUGUCCUCAAGGCGUACUUGAUGAACUGCGUGUGGAACUGCUACAAGUACAUCAUCAACAGAAACAAGCCAGAUGUUGCUGUCUUCCUCUCUUUUGAGAAUCAGCCCCAGUCCACCUUGCCCACCUACGAGAUGGCAGUAAACAUGCCUGACAAGGACCCUCCACCACCUUACAUGCCAUCGUAAGGACCAGCUCCACUGUGGACACAACACCUGCCACCGCCAAAUGCAUUUCUACAUUCCCUCACUUUAAUCCUCUCCGAGCGCCUCUUAUCUACUGUACAUAUAGUGCAAAGGGAAGCACGCCGCAGCACCCUUUUGGUUUAUUUGGCUUUGCUGCGGUUCACUACUACCACCACCAUCACCAGCCCAGAUGUUUACAUCACACUCUGCUGCCAGCUAGUUUUCCAGCUGUGUACGAGAAAGGGAGGAGGGAAGCUGCUUUUCCACCAGCCUAAUAUCAACCUGUGAAGAUUUGUUGUUGCAUGCCUUCUUCCCCACUUAACUGACCCUAACAUGCUUUUUGGUUCCAUUUAAUUCUACCCAAUUUAAUGACUUAAAUAAAGGGUUGA